GCUAACACAUGCAAGUCGAACGGCAGCACAGGAGAGCUUGCUCUCUGGGUGGCGAGUGGCGGACGGGUGAGGAAUACAUCGGAAUCUACUUUUUCGUGGGGGAUAACGUAGGGAAACUUACGCUAAUACCGCAUACGACCUACGGGUGAAAGCAGGGGAUCUUCGGACCUUGCGCGAUUGAAUGAGCCGAUGUCGGAUUAGCUAGUUGGCGGGGUAAAGGCCCACCAAGGCGACGAUCCGUAGCUGGUCUGAGAGGAUGAUCAGCCACACUGGAACUGAGACACGGUCCAGACUCCUACGGGAGGCAGCAGUGGGGAAUAUUGGACAAUGGGCGCAAGCCUGAUCCAGCCAUACCGCGUGGGUGAAGAAGGCCUUCGGGUUGUAAAGCCCUUUUGUUGGGAAAGAAAUCCAGCUGGUUAAUACCCGGUUGGGAUGACGGUACCCAAAGAAUAAGCACCGGCUAACUUCGUGCCAGCAGCCGCGGUAAUACGAAGGGUGCAAGCGUUACUCGGAAUUACUGGGCGUAAAGCGUGCGUAGGUGGUCGUUUAAGUCCGUUGUGAAAGCCCUGGGCUCAACCUGGGAACUGCAGUGGAUACUGG
RNAcentral lists this ribosomal RNA (600 nucleotides) under uncultured bacterium. RNAcentral's name for it is "bacterial SSU rRNA". It matches the Rfam family "Bacterial small subunit ribosomal RNA", at positions 46 to 636 of the family's 1533-position model. The record is from RNAcentral.